GGAGGGGACAGCUCAAGUGGUAGAGCACAAGCUUAGCAUGCAGGAGCUCCUGGGUUCAAUUCCCAGUGCCUCCU
Camelus ferus (Wild Bactrian camel) is the source of this 74-nucleotide non-coding RNA. The record is from Rfam. NCBI's taxonomy places the organism in Eukaryota, Metazoa, Chordata, Mammalia, Artiodactyla, Camelidae.